GAUGAACGCUAGCGGCAGGCCUAAUACAUGCAAGUCGUACGGCAACACAGUUGCGAGCAAUCGCAACCGGUGCGAGUGGCGCACGGGUGAGUAACGCGUAUGUAACCUACCCUUCUCCGGGACAUAACUCCGCGAAAGCGGUGCUAAUAUCCCAUACCAACUCAUCAAGACAUCUUCUUGAGUUGAAAGCAGCAAUGCGGUGAAGGAUGGGCAUGCGUCCCAUUAGCUGGUUGGUGAGGUAAUGGCCCACCAAGGCUACGAUGGGUAGGGGUUCUGAGAGGAAAGCCCCCCACACUGGUACUGAGACACGGACCAGACUCCUACGGGAGGCAGCAGUAAGGAAUAUUGGGCAAUGGUCGAAAGACUGACCCAGCCAUGCCGCGUGCAGGAUGAAGGCCCUAUGGGUUGUAAACUGCUUUUAGCCGGGAAUAAACACCCGUUUUAUAACGGGCCCGAAGGUACCGGCUGAAUAAGCAUCGGCUAACUCCGUG
RNAcentral lists this ribosomal RNA (491 nucleotides) under uncultured bacterium. Its description in RNAcentral is "bacterial SSU rRNA". It matches the Rfam family "Bacterial small subunit ribosomal RNA", at positions 28 to 507 of the family's 1533-position model. The record is from RNAcentral.